This is a non-coding RNA of Myxocyprinus asiaticus (Chinese sucker), 75 nucleotides long. The record is from the annotation of a RefSeq genome assembly. NCBI's taxonomy places the organism in Eukaryota, Metazoa, Chordata, Actinopteri, Cypriniformes, Catostomidae.
GGGUUCCUGAAGCUCAAUUGGUAGAGCGUGGCGCUUGCAACGCCAAGGUCAUGGGUUUGAUUCCCAGGGAACACA